GCUGCAUCCAUUCCUUCCUUUUUUUAUUUUUUCUUGGAUCUUUCCAUUGAGAUGGAUCGAAAAACACAGCAAAACCAGAAAAAUUGGGGCAUUGGGAAUAUGGUGAAGAAAUAAAGAUGAGCAGAGAGCACAGAGGACAAAGCGGGGGCCGAGAGGCAAACGGGCGAGGGCCCAGGCAGAGGCGGGCAGGUACAGACUUAUUCUUGAUCCCAGCCUCCACCAGCUCAUGGCAUCAGUGAUGUUUCUAUGGCCCUGUUGAAUUUGAAUGAGAUCUUGGGGUUAUUCCACUUCAAAUACUACUGGAUCUGGGAAACCACACUUUCUGAUAUUUUGAUGUACUACCUACACCUCUGAACAUAGACUUUCUGCCUCUUUCUCCGCAUGACACCCAAUUUGUCUUCCUCCUAUUUUCUAGUGACCAUUCAUCAGAACCAAGAUUGUCACCAUGAAAGAAAUCUAUGCUAAAAAGUGUACUGAUAAUGGAGGUAGAAGCAGCAAGGAAGAAAAGUCACUUAAUUCAAUGGUGUAAAGUACAGGGAGAGGUGGAAGGUGGAGAACUGAAGUGGCUGGAGUACUCGCUCUCUGCAGCAGCAAUCGCUGACCGUGAGGUUGUAAGUCACCUGGCUUCUUUGCAUGGUCCUAGAGAGUGUGUGCUAAGAGAAGACAAGACCAAAUUUGGGAAUGGACUGUCAGAAAAUCGGGCUAGCAACUGUGAAUGACCUCUUACUUCUGGCAGUUUUAAGGAAAAUGUGUCUGAGGACCCAGCCUGGAGUUUCAUAAGAGUCACCAAGAAACUGCUUGUUGCACGUACUCCAUAUCACCUUAAUCUUGCUUCAAAAGCUACUAGAUCAGGAUGAUACUCAGGACAGAAAUGUCCUAAGAAUUUCAGCUCUUGUUUCCCUAGAACUUCUGCUGGCUGAGGCUUCCCAUCCUUCCCUCCUGAAGAAUCUAUCUGUCUUCUGCAUAAAAUGCUUCCACUGACUAGAAGACUUGGGCACAAGAGACAGUGGCCUUGCACGUGACUAUCAACUCUUCAGAAUUUGCCAACAGUGCCAUCAUGGGAUCUGUUUGUCAAAAUAGCCAAGGCCUGACUGGAAGUAGAGCGACCCUGACUGGCACAGGAGUUAUGUGAUUUCAUCAAGCUCUUCUGGCCAGAACUCCACACAGGACAGUGAAAUAUGUGGAAAGGGACCACAAACCUCAAUUAACACACAUUAUUGGCAUAUGUACAUUCACAUAUAAUUUGGAACUUUUUCUUUGUUUAGGUACUGGGGAGUCAAAUCCAGGGCCUUGAGUAUACUCAGAAGUUGUUCUCCCACUGAGCUGUGCUCACAGCCCUAAGAAUUUUGGUUUUGCUUCAUUGACUUGAGCAUUUAUACAUGGCAGUCAAUCUGAAAGGUCAGCUAUGUGAAAUUUACACAAAAUUAGGUUGACAUUGUUAAUUCCCUGAAGAGAGCCCAGAAAUCAGUAGAGGGAAGUGUAGAUAGCCAGCCCUUACAUGUAUCCUGCUGCUUCCAGAGUUACCAGCCAUCUACUGAGGGGUCUCUUGGGACAAGAGAUUUGAAGUGUUAAUAACGGGACAAUCCCAGACAAACUGUGAUGCCUGAUCACUCUGUUUUCCACCCUCUUACUGCAGUCUUGAAAGAUCUGUCUCUGGGCUCCUAUAGACCUAUAUACCUUGUGAUUACACAGGGUCAAUUACCUAUGUGGAACUGAGAAUUAUUUGGUCCAUUGAAGCAUAAAAUUAGACAUUCACAGCAGCAUUUCAUUCUUAAGGAGGAGACACAUUUUGAGAACAUGGCUAAAUAGAUGCGGAAGCCCAAAAUAAAAAUGUAUCUCUCAACUCUCAUCAGUAAAGUUCCCUCAUGCAACAGAGGACAAUGGACACAAAAGGUCACAAAUAGCCAAAGUGUGGAGAAUAAGAGCCUGCAGAGUGUGGGUCCUUAGACAGGACUCUACCCACCUAGGGCUCAGAGGCCAUUUCAGAACAGGGGGCAGGAAGAUAGUAAGAGCCAGGGGAGGUGGUACAUAACCAUAUGGAAACAGUCUUACAGGCUCCUAGGACCUCGUUCAUAUGAAUCUACAGCAAUGGUUUCAGCAUACAUAAGAACCAUGAAAACUCAAUGAGCAGCAGACCCAAUCUUAGCUGAAGAACUAGCGGCAGCUGAUUACUCCUGGGUAAAGGAGUGCUACUUGACUGACUGACUAGCCCCCAGUGGAUGAACAUGCACUGAGGGAUGUCUGGGUACACUAACUUGACUUGCUAGGCCUUAACAUAAAUGACAGAAUGCAUGAAACCUGGCACGGGUUUGCUAGGGGAAUAGAGGGGGGGUGUAGAAAGAUGAUUAAGAGGCCCAGCGUGGUGGCAUAUGCCUUUAAUCCCAGCACUUGGGAGGCAGAGGCAAGCAGUUAUUUGUGAGUUCGAGGCCAGCUCUGUGUAUCUUUCCCCUUUCUGUAUUGUUUCUCCUUCACUUCAUAAACACAAACUCAGGGUAAGUACAGUCAGAUGAGGAAACCAUUUAGACUUGGAUUGUGGACACGCAGCCAUGCUGGCACUAAAACUGUAGUGGAUGGUAGUUUCUUUCAACUCUACCCAGAGGUCGCCUUCAAAAGCAGUAACAAACAUUCUGCAGUGUCUUUACAGAUAUGAUGGAGAAUUCAGUAGUCAAGUAUUUGACUCUUCUGUACUAAUUCCAAAUGAAUACUAUUUGUUUUCUCUCCCCACCAACUUUUGGGUGGAACUUAUAAGUUCACAUGACCAUGAUGAAAAUGUUUCCCUCUUGCUUCUGGCUCUGCUUCUGGUGAGUUGAACCAACAGGCAGAAAAGGGAAUCCCUGCUCUUGAUAGGGUGGUUAGACUUUAUUAUAAAGUAGGAUGAGGGUUGAUCUUCCACAACAGUGACACACAGGACUGUGUUUAUAACCCAAGAGUUGCUGCUAGCACCUUUUAGUACUUCUUAGUCAAUGAAAAAUUGCAAUAACCUGAGUCUCAUCCCUCAAGAAUGAUGGAUUGGGUCAUCACACACAAAAAUAUCUACCCAGCUAAGGUCAUGGCAUGGGACAAGCAA
Long non-coding RNA from Nannospalax galili (Upper Galilee mountains blind mole rat), 3067 nucleotides. RefSeq lists it as uncharacterized. The record is from RefSeq and is a predicted model, not a curated record. The transcript has 3 exons. NCBI's taxonomy places the organism in Eukaryota, Metazoa, Chordata, Mammalia, Rodentia, Spalacidae.